GCCCCGGCCCGGCCCGCAAGAGCCAGAGGAGCCGAGAGGAGCCCAGCGCCGGCCCAGCGGACUCCAGCUCGACGGAGCGGCCGCGCCCCGACCAGUUACUCCCCUGCUGGUGCCUCCCUCCUUGGCGCGCUUCCCACCUGCGAUCGGCGCCCUCUUCGCAGUCACGAACUCGCCAGCAGCUAGCAGCACUGACUAGUAGGAGGGCCCGCCGGAGGAGAGGACAUGCUCUGGAGUCAGAAGACAGCGAAAAGAGAAGCAGAAGCCCCGGUGGCAAGAGUCUGAAGGAAGGAUGACUGUAGCCUGUGGAUUGUACUGCAGUAGGAAACUGUCCUAGCAAGGCUCCACUUUGCCCCAGCUUCAAGCUGGAAAGGAGGAGAACAUGAAACAUUGCUUGAAGACAAUGGCCGAGACAGCAGGUCCCACCCUGCACAGCCACCAGCAUCUCUCCCCUCAGCCCUGUCUCCUCUUCUGCAGUUGGGAUCUGCACAUUUAAGCCUGAAAUUGUCCUGUGAAGUGAAGUAUGAUCGGACAGCCUCUUUUCAGCUUUUAUGACAAUGGAGACAGAGGAAUUGUGGCUCUUGCCAAGGUCACAGGAUUGGAAUACAGAGCCAAGCCACCCCAGGACAUGCAAGAGCCUCAGAAGGGAAAAAAGCCCAGCAGGAAGGGAGAACAAGUAGCCUCUGUCCUGAAGUUGUAACAGCCAGGGGCCAGGAUGGAGGAGGAGGACCCCAUAAUCUGCCCAUCUGGGACUUGGCAGGGGACCUGGGAAAAUGUACCCCAACCCAUCCCUUAAGGGCCUUUGUCUUUGGCCCAUUGGCCUAGCAUCUACUUCUUCACCGUGUCUGUUCUUGUCACACCUAGUCAGGUCUGUUUGGGUCUGAGGUGCAUGGAACAUUCUGGGUAGGCCUCCAGCAAACGGAAGCUCUUCACCGUGUUUCCAGCCUGGGACCAAGGGCAGCAUACUGGCAAAGUUGCCAAAGCAAGGGACUCCAGCCUCUUAGGAGUUAAUGACUCCCUCUCCCCAGCUGUCCUCCCCUUGGUGCUCCUCUUCCUCCCUCCUCCUGCUCACAGCAGGCAGGGCCUAGACCCGGGAGCCAUGCUGCUGUGCUGUUGCCAGGGGAGCACGGAGGCAGAUCUGAGCUAUGCAGGGAAAAGGCCCAGCCUGUCAAAGUGUCUGAGAUGAACCGCCGCCGUCCCUGUGCAGCUGGGCUCAGACGUGUCUCAGCUCUUGUUCUGUGCCUGAGAAUGGCGAAACCCAGUGAGGUUCAAGGGCAAACUCGCUAUUCAUUAGUCAGGGGUUCUUGACGUCCCGUCUCUCCCAGGGAUGAGUUCCCCCCUCCUCUUUCUCCCCCUCCUAUGACACAUUCCUGGGUGCCUUUGGUGAGGACUGCACACCCUCCUCCUGCCUAGCCCCCUCUCCAAAGGCCCCUGAAUAAACUCCCCCCAAGGAGACCAGGCAGGGCAGAGACAAUGGCUGCAGGAAAUCAUUCAGGCGGGACAUGCUGGCCUGCCCUCCACCCAGUCCCCCUGUGGGCCCCACUCCCUUCUGAUUCAGGGCACCCUUGGGCCCCCAGCCUAUACAGGCCUGGACAGGAAGAAACCACUGGGAACCACCCUAAGGACAACAUGCUAGUCCAGUGCCAUUCUUCGCUGGCUCUGUGGGUGCCUUUGUGGCCUGUACCGACUGGCUGGCUAAUUUUGUGGUUUCUGUACCAUCACAUGCCUAUUUUAAGACACUCUCCAGCACUGUCGGUUAGGGAGUGUAAAUUUUGCAAUAUUUUCUGAAAUGUGGCAAUAUCAAAAUGUAAAAGGCACACAUACUUGGUCACAAACAAAUGGCACUAUUUACUCUGUGGGCAUAUUUGUAAAAGUUGCCAAAGAAUUAUAUACAAGGAUGUUCAUCAGAGCAUUUCUUUUGAAGAGUAAAGAAAUGGACAUGAACCUGUGGUCCGUUCAUACGGUGGAAUACCUAUGCAGCUGUAAAAAUCAGUGUGGUAGAUCUCCGUAUAUGAGUUGAUGUGGAAGGUUGGCCAGUUCACAUGAUAAGGUGAAUAGAAUAAGUUACAGAACAGGCUGUAGAGUAUGAUCUUAUUUGUAGAUGUUUAAAACUGAGUCAUAAGUAUGCUUAUAUACAGAUCGUUUCUGGAAGUAUGUACUGGAAGUCUACCUCUGGGGAGUGGGGAUGGGGGAGUGCACUCUUCUAUACUGUUAUAUUUUCUUUUCAUGCUCCUAAGGUACUUUUAUUGGAAGAUGUAAAGCGGUUCAAUGUAAUAGGCUUAACUUCUGUCAACUAAGUUGGCGUGGGUGCUUUAAGAGGGUGGUAGUGAUGUUGCUGGAGAAAGUAUCCCACAGUCACUGGUGGCUUCAGCCACGGGCCAUUUUGGGGCCUAAUAAUCACAUAUCAUCAUGGUUGCUAGUGUUAAUCGAAAACCUACUAAGUGCCAGGCUUACUGUCUCUGGGUCUUGCUUACGUGGAUGUCAUUUUUCCAGUUGCACCAAAUCGAAAGAGGUUAAUUGGUUUGUUGGAGUUCCUUUGUAGGUGAAGGGCAGAGCCAGGAGCUUGGCUAGGGACAGGGGAGGUGAGUGGGGGAUGGUGGAUAGGUCUUGGCUCCCAGUUUCCUUCUGGGCAGACAUUGCCCCUCUGCCCUGAGGACCUGCUUGUUUGGGGGAAGAGGCCUUUAGAGGCACCAGGGUCAUGCCAGGUGUUGGACAUGGUGAACUGGGAAGUGCUCCCAUCUGGCCACAGCGCAGAAGUAUCACCGUGCUGGGGGAUGGGGAACAGGGCUGUGAAUGGGCCUAUUUGCAUAAGCAGCAUGUGUCUGGAGAGAAAGACAUCACAGAGCAGAAGAGUGCGGGUGCCCAGGAGUGCACUUGCCACCCCUACUUCAUCCCUGAAAGAGUAAAUGGCCUGGAAGGUGUCUCUGAGAGGUAAUGCCGCACACCACCCUCCCUGGGGGCAGGGUCAGGCUACACCUGCCUUAGGUCGGGGGCUGCAGCAGCCUGAGAGCUCUCAGUAGGGCCUCAGUAGCCUGGGAGGGAGCAGGGGCAGGGGGCAGGGAAAGAGGCGUAAUGGGGCUGUCCAGAGGGGCCUGGGAAACCUGGUCCCUGAGGCCUGGGCACAGCUACAAUCACUUCAAAUUGGCUGUGGGGCCAGUGGACUGGGAAGGAAAAAAGCAAUAAGAGUGACCAAGUGCAGAAGGCUGUCAGGUCCCAGGUCACAUGCCUUAGUGCAGUGACUCCUCAUCAUUUUAUGGGGUGUGGGUGUCGUUGGUACACCCAUUUUACAGAUGAGGACACCGAGGCCCAGAAAAGUUAAGUUACAUGUCCUAAGUCACACAGCUUGUAAGUGCCAGAACUGAGAUCAAAACCAAGUCUCUUUGACUUUAAAGUCUGUACUCUGACCCCAAAGAGAUCCUGUUUGGCCACUUAUAGGAGGUCCCUAAAGCUGCAGACUCCCCUUGCCGGCACCCACAUAUAGAGACAUUAACCCUUCCCCUGCAGGGUCACCUCAAAUAGUCUUUUAGCUGGGCUUCUCCUGCAAUUCCACCUAAUGCCAUCCCCUGGGUUUUGCCCAAACCUGAACUGGGCAGUGGGGUGAGAGGAGGGGUUUACAGGGUUACAGAGCCUCAUACAGAUAGGAGCCCAUGGCUGCUGGUCAUCUGCAUUCCUGCAGGAUUGGCUGUUCCUUGGGGUCCUUGGCAGGAAAAUGAGGAUUGCUCCGAGGCCUGCUCCAGUACUUCCCAGAGGCUGGCCUGGUGUGGGGCUCUGGGAAGGCUGAGGCUGGAGAAGCGUAAGUAGGAGGGCAGAGAUGGCACUCAGGUAGCUUGAAUCACCAGGACCCUUCCAAGCCCCACAGGUUCUGAGGGAGUACUAGGGCCAGCUCUGGGAGAGGUCUCUUCCUAUGCUGUGAACCCCCUGCCUUUCUUGCAGCCUACAACGAAUAAAUUUUCUUUGCAAAGG
This 3960-nucleotide long non-coding RNA is filed under the name Homo sapiens (human). Its description in RNAcentral is "MIR9-3 host gene". Lineage: Eukaryota; Metazoa; Chordata; Mammalia; Primates; Hominidae. The record is from RNAcentral.